AAAGCUCAAAUUUGAAAUCUGACACCUUUGGCGUUCGAGUUGUAAUUUGGAGAGGCAUCUUCUGGAGGGGCCCAGCCUAUGUGCCUUGGAACAGGACGUCAUAGAGGGUGAGAAUCCCGUACUUGACUGGAUGUUCCCUCCUGUAUGUAGUGUCUUCUACGAGUCGAGUUGUUUGGGAAUGCAGCUCAAAAUGGGUGGUAAAUUUCAUCUAAAGCUAAAUAUUGGCCAGAGACCGAUA
RNAcentral lists this ribosomal RNA (238 nucleotides) under Tuber sp. Its description in RNAcentral is "partial large subunit ribosomal RNA". It matches the Rfam family "Eukaryotic large subunit ribosomal RNA", at positions 104 to 339 of the family's 3401-position model. The record is from RNAcentral. Lineage: Eukaryota; Fungi; Ascomycota; Pezizomycetes; Pezizales; Tuberaceae.